This 233-nucleotide ribosomal RNA is filed under the name uncultured bacterium. RNAcentral describes it as "partial 16S ribosomal RNA". It matches the Rfam family "Bacterial small subunit ribosomal RNA", at positions 794 to 1026 of the family's 1533-position model. The record is from RNAcentral.
UCCACGCCCUAAACGAUGAAUGCUAGUCGUCGGGACUCUUGUAGUUUCGGUGAUGCACUUAACAGAUUAAGCAUUCCGCCUGGGGAGUACGGUCGCAAGAUUAAAACUCAAAGGAAUAGACGGGGACCCGCACAAGUGGUGGAGCAUGUGGUUUAAUUCGAAGAUACGCGAAGAACCUUACCUAGCCUUGACAUUGAUUGAAUCUUUCAGAGAUGAGAGAGUGCCUUUCGGGG